RNAcentral lists this ribosomal RNA (590 nucleotides) under uncultured Alphaproteobacteria bacterium. RNAcentral's name for it is "bacterial SSU rRNA". It matches the Rfam family "Bacterial small subunit ribosomal RNA", at positions 547 to 1134 of the family's 1533-position model. Lineage: Bacteria; Pseudomonadati; Pseudomonadota; Alphaproteobacteria. The record is from RNAcentral.
GGAAUGACUGGGCGUAAAGGGCGCGUAGGCGGCACAUACAGUCAGAUGUGAAAUCCCUGGGCUCAACCUGGGGACUGCAUUUGAUACGUGUGAGCUAGAGUGAAGAAGAGGGUUGUGGAAUUUCCAGUGUAGAGGUGAAAUUCGUAGAUAUUGGAGAGAACACCGGUGGCGAAGGCGGCAACCUGGUCUUUAACUGACGCUGAGGCGCGAAAGCGUGGGGAGCAAACAGGAUUAGAUACCCUGGUAGUCCACGCUGUAAACGAUGUGUGCUGGAUGUUGGGGAACUUAGUUUUUCAGUGUCGUAGCUAACGCGAUAAGCACACCGCCUGGGGAGUACGGCCGCAGGGUUGAAACUCAAAGGAAUUGACGGGGGCCCGCACAAGCGGUGGAGCAUGCGGUUUAAUUCGAAGCAACGCGCAGAACCUUACCAGGACUUGACAUGGGUAGGACCGGUGGAAAGAUUCACUUUUCCCGCAAGGGACCUAAUGCACAGGUGCUGCAUGGCUGUCGUCAGCUCGUGUCGAGAGAUGUCGGGUCAAGUCCCGCAACGAGCGCAACCCUCGGCUAUAAUUGCCAUCAGGUUAUGCUGG